CCGUGAACCCAGCUUCCAUGUCA
This 23-nucleotide unclassified non-coding RNA is filed under the name Mus musculus (house mouse). Its description in RNAcentral is "oocyte_clustered_small_RNA2109". Lineage: Eukaryota; Metazoa; Chordata; Mammalia; Rodentia; Muridae. The record is from RNAcentral.